GACUUUAAGUCUCCUGAAGGAACGUUAAAGACGAUGACGUUGAUAGGCCGGGUGUGUAAGCGCAGCGAUGCGUUGAGCUAACCGGUACUAAUGAACCGUGAGGCUUAACCUU
Molecule: ribosomal RNA, 112 nt
Filed under: Klebsiella pneumoniae
Lineage: Bacteria; Pseudomonadati; Pseudomonadota; Gammaproteobacteria; Enterobacterales; Enterobacteriaceae
Description: partial 23S ribosomal RNA
Rfam family: Bacterial large subunit ribosomal RNA
Source: RNAcentral